This 253-nucleotide ribosomal RNA is filed under the name uncultured bacterium. Its description in RNAcentral is "partial 16S ribosomal RNA". It matches the Rfam family "Bacterial small subunit ribosomal RNA", at positions 524 to 776 of the family's 1533-position model. The record is from RNAcentral.
UACAGAGGUCUCAAGCGUUGUCCGGAAUCAUUGGGCGUAAAGCGCGCGUAGGUGGCCUCGUAAGUCCGCUGUGAAAGUCAAAGGCUCAACCUUUGAAAGCCGGUGGAUACUGUGAGGCUAGAGUACGGAAGAGGCGAGUGGAAUUCCUGGUGUAGCGGUGGAAUGCGCAGAUAUCAGGAGGAACACCAAUAGCGAAGGCAGCUCGCUGGGACGUAACUGACACUGAGGCGCGAAAGCGUGGGGAGCGAACAGG